AGUGAACGCUGGCGGUAGGCCUAACACAUGCAAGUCGAACGGCAGCACAGUAAGAGCUUGCUCUUACGGGUGGCGAGUGGCGGACGGGUGAGGAAUACAUCGGAAUCUACUUUUUCGUGGGGGAUAACGUAGGGAAACUUACGCUAAUACCGCAUACGACCUACGGGUGAAAGCAGGGGAUCUUCGGACCUUGCGCGAUUGAAUGAGCCGAUGUCGGAUUAGCUAGUUGGCGGGGUAAAGACCCACCAAGGCGACGAUCCGUAGCUGGUCUGAGAGGAUGAUAAGCCACACUGGAAAUGAGACACGGUCCAGACUCCUACGGGAGGCAGCAGUGGGGAAUAUUGGACAAUGGGCGCAAGCCUGAUCCAGCCAUACCGCGUGGGUGAAGAAGGCCUUCGGGUUGUAAAGCCCUUUUGUUGGGAAAGAAAAGCAGCAGGUUAAUACCCCGCUGUUCUGACGGUACCCAAAGAAUAAGCACCGGCUAACUUCGUG
RNAcentral lists this ribosomal RNA (492 nucleotides) under uncultured bacterium. Its description in RNAcentral is "partial 16S ribosomal RNA". It matches the Rfam family "Bacterial small subunit ribosomal RNA", at positions 29 to 507 of the family's 1533-position model. The record is from RNAcentral.